GAUGAAGAACGUAGCGAAAUGCGAUAAGUAAUGUGAAUUGCAGAAUUCAGUGAAUCAUCGAAUCUUUGAACGCACAUUGCGCCCGCCAGCAUUCUGGCGGGCAUGCCUGUUCGAGCGUCAUUUCAACCCUCGAGCCCCCCCGGGGGCCUCGGUGUUGGGGGACGGCACACCAGCCGCCCCCGAAAUGCAGUGGCGACCCCGCCGCAGCCUCCCCUGCGUAGUAGCACAUACCUCGCACCGGAGCGCGGAGGCGGUCACGCCGUAAAACGCCCAACUUUCUUAGAGUUGACCUCGGAUCAGGUAGGAAUACCCGCUGAACUUAAGCAUAUCAAUAAGCGGAGGA
RNAcentral lists this unclassified non-coding RNA (343 nucleotides) under soil metagenome. RNAcentral describes it as "partial contains 5.8S ribosomal RNA, internal transcribed spacer 2, and large subunit ribosomal RNA". The stretch from base 1 to 120 matches the Rfam family "5.8S ribosomal RNA", at positions 35 to 154 of the family's 154-position model. The record is from RNAcentral.